AUACUUACCUGGUGUCGGGGCGUCUGUGAUCAAUGAGGCAGAGCCCUCAGGGUGAGGCGCGGCCAUUGCACACCGGGCCGUGUUGACCCCUGCCACUUUCUCAAACUGAGAUAGAUGGGACAUGCAAAUUUUUGGUAGUGGGGGAGCAGCGUUCGCGCUAUCCCCC
RNAcentral lists this small nuclear RNA (166 nucleotides) under Ixodes scapularis (black-legged tick). Its description in RNAcentral is "U1 spliceosomal RNA". It matches the Rfam family "U1 spliceosomal RNA". Rfam says of the family: U1 is a small nuclear RNA (snRNA) component of the spliceosome (involved in pre-mRNA splicing). Its 5' end forms complementary base pairs with the 5' splice junction, thus defining the 5' donor site of an intron. There are significant differences in sequence and secondary structure between metazoan and yeast U1 snRNAs, the latter being much longer (568 nucleotides as compared to 164 nucleotides in human). The record is from Rfam by way of RNAcentral. Lineage: Eukaryota; Metazoa; Arthropoda; Arachnida; Ixodida; Ixodidae.